GCUGAGUUUGGUGAUGCAGGCCUAUAAUCCCUACUACCGAUAGAGGCUGAGGCUGCUGCAUUGUUUGAGUUCAGGGUUUCUGAGAUACGGUAAGGCUAAAGUCAAUUGGGUAUCUGCACUGAGUUCAGUGACAAUAUGAGCCACUGGGGGCAGAGGGCAAUCAGGCUGCCUGAGGAGGGGUGAAACAGGCCCAGGUUGGAAAAAUGGAGCAGAUCAGAGCUUCUAUACUGGCCAGCAUUGGGAUCAGGCCUAUGAGUAACUACUGUAAUUUUACCCUGGGUGAGUUAAGCAGACUUAG
Molecule: signal recognition particle RNA, 298 nt
Filed under: Vombatus ursinus (common wombat)
Lineage: Eukaryota; Metazoa; Chordata; Mammalia; Diprotodontia; Vombatidae
Description: Metazoan signal recognition particle RNA (ENSVURG00010003878.1)
Rfam family: Metazoan signal recognition particle RNA
About the family: The signal recognition particle (SRP) is a universally conserved ribonucleoprotein. It is involved in the co-translational targeting of proteins to membranes.
Source: RNAcentral